Molecule: ribosomal RNA, 500 nt
Filed under: uncultured Glomeromycotina
Lineage: Eukaryota; Fungi; Glomeromycota
Description: partial small subunit ribosomal RNA
Rfam family: Eukaryotic small subunit ribosomal RNA
Source: RNAcentral
CCAAUAGCGUAUAUUAAAGUUGUUGCAGUUAAAAAGCUCGUAGUUGAAUUUCGGGAUCAGUGGGUCGGUCGUGCCACUGGUAUGUACUGGCUCUACUGGUUCCUCCUUCUUGAAGAACUGUAAUGCCAUUAAUUUGGUGUUGCAGGGAAACAGGACUGUUACUUUGAAAAAAUUAGAGUGUUUAAAGCAGGCAAUCGCUUGAAUACAUUAGCAUGGAAUAAUGAAAUAGGACGAUCGAUCCUAUUUUGUUGGUUUCUAGGAUUGACGUAAUGAUUAAUAGGGAUAGUUGGGGGCAUUAGUAUUCAAUUGUCAGAGGUGAAAUUCUUGGAUUUAUUGAAGACUAACUACUGCGAAAGCAUUUGCCAAGGAUGUUUUCAUUAAUCAAGAACGAAAGUUAGGGGAUCGAAGACGAUCAGAUACCGUCGUAGUCUUAACCAUAAACUAUGCCGACUAGGGAUCGGAUGAUGUUAAUUUUUUAAUGACUCAUUCGGCGCCUUACG